Long non-coding RNA from Trifolium pratense (red clover), 389 nucleotides. RefSeq lists it as uncharacterized. The record is from RefSeq and is a predicted model, not a curated record. The transcript is spliced from 2 exons. NCBI's taxonomy places the organism in Eukaryota, Viridiplantae, Streptophyta, Magnoliopsida, Fabales, Fabaceae.
AGAUUAUAUUUUGAACAUGCAACUCGCUCGCCAUUUGGUGGUAGGAGACUAAACGAGGAACCGUUGUUGUUGAGUUGAGGAAGACGAAUGAAACCCCUCUGUUGUGAUUUCAACUACUCAUUCCUAUUCCUAGUAUAUGAGGAAGGCACCAACCAUUACUGCAGAACAUUUACUAUUUUUGUUUUGGUUGGCAUUUGGUUACGCUUUGCCCGGUUAUGAGUGCUUCAAAACUGUGGAGUGGACAACACCAAUCUAGAGAUUCAUCAACUCAUUUUUUGGUGCCAAUAUUGGUUUGUCUUUUUAUUCUUCAUUCAUUCAUGUUUCAUAUUUAAUCAUGUAUUAUUAUUGAUAAUAUUUCUCUUAGAAAUAAUAUAAAACUAUUGAUGACA